GACGAACGCUGGCGGCGUGCUUAAAACAUGCAAGUCGAACGGACUUCUCAUGAAGCUUGCGAUUGAGAAGUUAGUGGCGGACGGGUGAGUAACGCGUGGGCAACCUGCCCCUGAGCCCGGGAUAACAGUUCGAAAGGACUGCUAAGACCGGAUAUACUUGCGGGGAAGCAUUUCACUGCAAGGAAAGGGAACGCUCAGGGGAUGGGCCCGCGUCCCAUUAGCUAGUUGGUGAGGUAACGGCCCACCAAGGCGACGAUGGGUAGCCGGCCUGAGAGGGUGAACGGCCACACUGGGACUGAGACACGGCCCAGACUCCUACGGGAGGCAGCAGUUGGGAAUCUUCGGCAAUGGGCGCAAGCCUGACCGAGCAACGCCGCGUGAGUGAUGAAGGUUUUCGGAUUGUAAAGCUCUGUCUUCCGGGACGAUAAUGACGGUACCGGAGGAGGAAGCCACGGCUAACUACGUG
RNAcentral lists this ribosomal RNA (466 nucleotides) under uncultured bacterium. Its description in RNAcentral is "bacterial SSU rRNA". It matches the Rfam family "Bacterial small subunit ribosomal RNA", at positions 28 to 507 of the family's 1533-position model. The record is from RNAcentral.